UGGGGUGUGGCUCAGUGGUAAAGCUCAUGCCUAGUGUGUGUGAGGCACUGGGUUCAAUUUUCAGCACCGCAU
This 72-nucleotide transfer RNA is filed under the name Marmota marmota marmota (Alpine marmot). It matches the Rfam family "tRNA". From Rfam's summary of the family: Transfer RNA (tRNA) molecules are approximately 80 nucleotides in length. Their secondary structure includes four short double-helical elements and three loops (D, anti-codon, and T loops). The record is from Rfam by way of RNAcentral. RNAcentral also lists the same sequence under 1 other name. Lineage: Eukaryota; Metazoa; Chordata; Mammalia; Rodentia; Sciuridae.